RNAcentral lists this ribosomal RNA (299 nucleotides) under uncultured bacterium. RNAcentral describes it as "partial 16S ribosomal RNA". It matches the Rfam family "Bacterial small subunit ribosomal RNA", at positions 333 to 647 of the family's 1533-position model. The record is from RNAcentral.
CUAGUCCUACGGGACGCAGCAGUGGGGAAUAUUGGGCAAUGGGCGCAAGCCUGACCCAGCAACGCCGCGUGAAGGAAGAAGGCUUUCGGGUUGUAAACUUCUUUUAAGAGGGAAGAGAAGAAGACGGUACCUCUUGAAUAAGCCACGGCUAACUACGUGCCAGCAGCCGCGGUAAUACGUAGGUGGCAAGCGUUGUCCGGAUUUACUGGGUGUAAAGGGCGUGCAGCCGGGCUGACAAGUCAGAUGUGAAAUCCCGCGGCUCAACCGCGGAACUGAAUUUGCAACAGUCAGUCUUGAGU